UGGGGAAUUUUGGACAAUGGGCGAAAGCCUGAUCCAGCAAUGCCGCGUGUGUGAAGAAGGCCUUCGGGUUGUAAAGCACUUUUGUCCGGAAAGAAAUCCUUGGCUCUAAUACAGUCGGGGGAUACGGUACCGGAAGAAUAAGCACCGGCUAACUACGUGCCAGCAGCCGCGGUAAUACGUAGGGUGCAAGCGUUAAUCGGAAUUACUGGGCGUAAAGCGUGCGCAGGCGGUUUGCUAAGACCGAUGUGAAAUCCCGGGCUCAACCUGGGAACUGCAUUGGUGACUGGCAGGCUAGAGUAUGGCAGAGGGGGGUAGAAUUCCACGUGUAGCAGUGAAAUGCGUAGAGAUGUGGAGGAAUACCGAUGGCGAAGGCAGCCCCCUGGGCCAA
RNAcentral lists this ribosomal RNA (388 nucleotides) under uncultured bacterium. Its description in RNAcentral is "partial 16S ribosomal RNA". It matches the Rfam family "Bacterial small subunit ribosomal RNA", at positions 355 to 737 of the family's 1533-position model. The record is from RNAcentral.